RNAcentral lists this long non-coding RNA (2297 nucleotides) under Malus domestica (apple). RNAcentral describes it as "long non-coding RNA (MDOM_LNC015412)". The record is from RNAcentral. Lineage: Eukaryota; Viridiplantae; Streptophyta; Magnoliopsida; Rosales; Rosaceae.
ACGUUAAAGAAAGCGCUACUUGGGAGGCAACCCAUGCAAUUCAACAAAGGAAGCCCUAGGAAUCACUCCAAUUCCAGAUUGCGUUCCUAAAACCCUUCACUUUGUUGCUUGUUUUCUAAUCUGCUCAGUUUUGUUAUUUACUUGCUGUUUGUGUGUUUCUUUUUGUUUAGUGUGGUUUUAUGCUUGAAACAUUGAGGACAAUGUUUGAUUUAAGUGUGGGGGGGGGGGGGGGGGGUAACUAAGUGUUUUAGAUGCAAAUUCGUGGGAUUUUAUCACCCUAAACUUGGAGACUUGUUCCUUGCUGUUUUUAAGUGUUUUUUUAAGCAGUUUUGGUGUGUUUUAGUGUGUGUUUGAACAUAAAAAAAUCCGAAAAUCACAUAAAAAUUUGAAAAAUUUGUUUUAAAAACCCAAAAAGAGUUGUUUUUGUGUGUUUGUUUGUGUCUUAGGGUACCUUCCAACACAAUGAUGAGGAUUCGGUUUGUAAUUACAUGGCUGUUAAAGAGAGUGAUUAACAUGGAUGAAAGUUUGAUUUACUCUUUGUUUAUGCUUGGUUGUGGUUAUAACUUAUGAAUUCACAUGCAAUCAUAAAAGAAAAAAAAAUCAGUUUUUGUAACAUGCUUGAAGGAAGGAACUCAAACUAACGCUACAACCUUGUGAGACUUGAGCCUAAACGUUUAUUUGGAGAGUUAAAAUCUGUGCAUUAUUGUUUUCUAAGUCGUUGCAUGAUCUCAUUAUUCCUUGCUUGGUUACUACUUAGAAGGCGUUUCAUCAUUUAGUUCCAAAUGCUAGAACUCAUGCCCAUUUCAUUCAAAGCAUGUUAUUGAUUUGCAUAACACAUAUUCAAGAUGAAGUUGUGUAGUUACCACCACCAAAGCCAAAUUGCCGUAUAUCCCAUAUCAUUUUAUGUUUAAGUUUAACCCCGUUGAGCCUUGUUAGCCUUCAUUCUUUGUUAACCCACGUUAUCCUCACCUAGCCUAGUUUAGGACCAUCCAUACCUUUGUUCUUAAAGCAUAGCAAAGCAUGAUUCAAUUUGAAUUCCUUUUGAUUAAUGUAUGGCAGAAAACAAGUGUGGGGGAAGUGUUCUCAUGUGAAUUAGUGUGCCAUAGGCACGGCAUUAAAAAAAGAAAAAAGAAAAAAAGAAAAGUGUGAAAAGUAUGAAAAAAGAGUUGAAAAGUUGAGAAAAAGAGUUCCAAAGUAUUGUUUGUUGAAGUGAGGGUCCAAAACAAUGAAUUCGACCCUAAGGAGUUGUUUAAGUCUUCCCCUUGUGUGUUAAAGUUAAUUUCUGCAAUUUAAGUGAAUUCUGAGUCUCAAUUUCAUUGCUUUGCUUACCAUCGCUUGAAGAACGUUUGUUUUCCCCUAUCCUUUCCUUGUUAACCAACACCCCAAGCCCCAUUACAACCCUUAACUUCUAUCUUGAGUGUUAUGUGUUUCAAUUUGUGGAGUUUGAAUUUGGUAUGAGCAUAUGGUGUCACUGGUUCUCGCAUCUAAGUAGUAGCAUUCCAUUCAUGAGAUCAUAUCUAAACAUGCUUCUUAACUCUAGAAAUUGCGUUCUUUGUGAAACAUAUAUGUGAGCAUUCGUUUUCAUAUCUACAUCAAUCUUCUCACAUAUGACUAGUGUAGGGUGUGGAGUUAGAAAAUCUGAGUGAAAAUAGAGUGUAUAUCUUGUAAGGAAUUGAGGGAAUUCUCUAAGGCAUGUUACCACAUUCAAAGCAUUGUUUUAAUUGAUUACUUGUGAACUAGUAAGUAGUGGCUUUAAUUAAGUAUGUGCUUAUGAGUAAAGAGAACUCAAAUCUGUGGGGAUAACAAUCUUUAACAUGUCAUGUGCAUUGGAAAUCCCUGAGGCAAAUGUUGGAAGGUUUAGGUUUUGUUUUGGUUAGUUUGUUUCGUUUUGUUUCCUUUCUUUUGUUUGUUUUGCUCGAGGACUAGCAAAAGCUAAGUGUGGGGGAAUUUGACAGGAGCAUAUUUAUGCUACUUAAUUGGCUUGUUCUCGUGCAUUUAAGUUGUGUUUACUUAGCUAUUUUAGUGUUUAAGUCACUUUUGUGUGUUUUCAGGUUCUAAGGCCAAAGUGUGCAAAAAGAAGCAAAUUGGAGCCUUUUGGAGCAAAAGGAAUGGAUGAAUUGAAGUCUUGAAGAAAGUUGGUUUCCUAAUCCAAGAAGAAUUCCUAAUCAACAAAGGAUUCCUAAUUGAAGAAGGAUUCCUACUCAUUUGAGGAUUCCUAGAAGAACAAGGAUUCCUACUCCAACAAGGAUUCCUACUUGAAGUAGGAAAGUUAAGCCAAGGUUUCCUAUUUUGGUUGA